GGCCAGCAGAUAAUGGGC
Molecule: small nuclear RNA, 18 nt
Filed under: Arabidopsis thaliana (thale cress)
Lineage: Eukaryota; Viridiplantae; Streptophyta; Magnoliopsida; Brassicales; Brassicaceae
Description: snRNA_15649
Source: RNAcentral